Molecule: long non-coding RNA, 216 nt
Organism: Oncorhynchus tshawytscha (Chinook salmon)
Lineage: Eukaryota; Metazoa; Chordata; Actinopteri; Salmoniformes; Salmonidae
Exons: 2
Source: RefSeq, a predicted model, not a curated record
AGAGCCCAUCUCUUCCCUCUUGGAGGUUGUGGACGUCACACCUGAAGAAAGGACUCUCACGAUGGCCGUCUCCGCCACUCUGCCAGCUGACAUCCAAGCAGAGGAUGUUGCUGUGGUCAUCCCGGAUGUCACCCCACACGUCACCAAGGACGUGACACUGGAUGUUCCAUGCAGAGCUAGGAAAGGGGCAGUCCAGCGAUUAUUUUGCAGGCUUUG